Molecule: non-coding RNA, 20 nt
Filed under: Mus musculus (house mouse)
Lineage: Eukaryota; Metazoa; Chordata; Mammalia; Rodentia; Muridae
Source: RNAcentral
UAGAGGAAAUUCAGGACAGU